GAUCCUGGCUCAGAAUCAACGCUGGCGGCGUGCCUAACACAUGCAAGUCGAACGAGAAAGGGACUUCGGUCCUGAGUAAAGUGGCGCACGGGUGAGUAACACGUGACUAACCUACCCUGGAGUGGGGAAUAACUUCGAGAAAUCGAGGCUAAUACCGCAUAACACCUACGGGUCAAAGGAGCAAUUCGCUUCAGGAGGGGGUCGCGGCAGAUUAGCUAGUUGGCGGGGUAAUGGCCCACCAAGGCAGUGAUCUGUAUCCGGCCUGAGAGGGCGCACGGACACACUGGAACUGAAACACGGUCCAGACUCCUACGGGAGGCAGCAGUGGGGAAUUUUGCGCAAUGGGGGAAACCCCGACGCAGCAACGCCGCGUGGAGGAUGAAGUAUCUUGGUACGUAAACUCCUUUCGACCGGGACGAUAAUGACGGUACCGGAAGAAGAAGCCCCGGCUAACUUCGUGCCAGCAGCCGCGGUAAUACGAGGGGGGCAAGCGUUGUUCGGAAUUAUUGGGCGUAAAGGGUGCGUAGGCGGCCCCGCAAGUCUUGUGUGAAAUCUUCGGGCUCAACUCGAAGUCUGCAUAGGAAACUGCGGGGCUGGAGUAUGGGAGAGGUGAGUGGAAUUCCUGGUGUAGCGGUGAAAUGCGUAGAUAUCAGGAGGAACACCUGUGGCGAAAGCGGCUCACUGGACCAU
Molecule: ribosomal RNA, 690 nt
Filed under: uncultured Acidobacteriota bacterium
Lineage: Bacteria; Pseudomonadati; Acidobacteriota
Description: bacterial SSU rRNA
Rfam family: Bacterial small subunit ribosomal RNA
Source: RNAcentral